GAUGAACGCUGGCGGCGUGCCUAAUACAUGCAAGUCGAGCGAACAGACGAGGAGCUUGCUCCUCUGACGUUAGCGGCGGACGGGUGAGUAACACGUGGAUAACCUACCUAUAAGACUGGGAUAACUUCGGGAAACCGGAGCUAAUACCGGAUAACAUGUUGAACCGCAUGGUUCAACAGUGAAAGACGGUCUUGCUGUCACUUAUAGAUGGAUCCGCGCCGCAUUAGCUAGUUGGUAAGGUAACGGCUUACCAAGGCAACGAUGCGUAGCCGACCUGAGAGGGUGGUCGGCCACACUGGAACUGAGACGGGGUCCAGGCGCCUAAGGGAGGGAGCAGUAGGGAAUCUUCCGCAAUAGGCGGAAGCCUGGCGGAGCGGCGCCACGUGAGAGAAGAAGAUCUUCGGAUCGUAAAACUGUGUUAUUAGGGAAAAACAAAUGUGUAAGUAACUGUGCACGUCCUGACGGUACCUAAUCAGAAAGCCACGGCUAACUACGUG
This 497-nucleotide ribosomal RNA is filed under the name uncultured bacterium. RNAcentral's name for it is "partial 16S ribosomal RNA". It matches the Rfam family "Bacterial small subunit ribosomal RNA", at positions 28 to 507 of the family's 1533-position model. The record is from RNAcentral.